AAUUUAUUUAUGUGCGCACUUGUCAGGAGGAGAAAGGGACGGGGGGAUCUGUAUGCGCCGAGGACACCGCCGCCGCUGAAAGGCGGAGGGGAAGGGAGAAUGGAGCCAAACGCCCCGGAUCCCGCUGCCCCCCUGGCAGCUGAAUGCCUCCGGUGGCCGUGAACUUGGAGGGGCCGAAAGCCCCAUUCCCAGGCCCUCGGCACGUCAGCGGGGCCGCCCGCGGGUGCUGCCGGCAGCGGGGCUGCGGGGCUCCAGAUGGGUCCGGCCGUGGCGCUCUGCCCUCCCCAGCGCUGCCCCGCAUUGCCGCGGCGCGGGGAGCACGUCCCAUGGCAACGGUACAGUAGCAGCGGCACAGCGGGGGGCUGGGAAGAGAGGCAAAGCCCUCGGAAAAAUACAGGAUGGGUCCAGACAAUGGCCCCCCUCUCAUAUCAUAAAUUACACGGCGGCGACAAAAGGGGGACGGAUGCUGACGCUCCCUCGCUCCCCGUUCCCAAAGUCCCCGCGCUCGCUGGGCGCCGUGGGCAGGGCGGUGGAGGAGGGAUGCUGUGGCACCCAUGGGCGCCGUGCUCGGGGAGAAAGCCUCAGCCCUGUCCCCACCUGCAGCACGGAUCCUUCGCCCCGCAGCAGCCCCGCUUCCUGCCCCAAAACGCUCCCUGAGCGCCCGCUGCCCAGGCCCCAGGCUCGACCCCGACACCGGGACCAGCUCCUGCUGCAGAAGGCUCUCCCUUCGGAAAAAAAGGCCUUUUUUUUCCCCUCCCAUUUCCUCUCUGCAGCUCAAGGGCCAGAGCAUUUUGCAUUUAUUGCUGAUGGCUCGGUGCCUCUGCACUGCUUCUCCAAACCAGCUUCUGCCUGGCGAGGGCUGGGGGUGGACGCACGCAGCUCCCCAUGGGACGCGGGGCGCUCCCCAAGCCCCCCAAGCUGCCAGCAGCAUCAGGCCGAAGGAGAAGGGGCUCAGGCUGCACCCACCAGCAUCAGAGGACUCCCUGCUUGGCUCCUUUCCUCCCUGAAAGCGCAAAGAAGCCUCAAAGCCUGUGCGCGGUGGCGCUUCCUGACCCUCUUUGUGCUGCACGGAGGCACCUCCCAGGAGCUCAAACCUCGCUGCAGAGAGCUGGAGGAUGGCGAAGGAGGACAGCAAAGGAGGCCUGAGCCACGUGAAAAGCACCGAGACGUCUUCUCCAGGCAGAGAUGCACGAGGUCUUCUGGUGGCGCCAAGGGCCGUGGCGCAGCGCUGGGACGCAGGAGGUGGGAAGGACGCCGCUGGCAGGCUUGGAGGAUUGCGAGUUAACAAAACAGCUUCGAGAGGUUUUAGGAGACAAACCCGGGGGUGUGCGAGGAGCCGAGGAGGCAUCCUGGAUGACGAGUGAGGCGCUGCCCCCCCUGAUCCCCGCAGCCAGUGUCGCCUGCACCCAUCCCCGAGCUCCUGCCGUGGGGAAGCCCAGCCCGUGCCGGAGCCUGCUCAGCCCUCGCUGUGCAGAGAAAACCUUGAGAAAUAAAUUCACUUACCAGGAAAUUCCCCGUGAACUC
Molecule: long non-coding RNA, 1524 nt
Filed under: Anser brachyrhynchus (Pink-footed goose)
Lineage: Eukaryota; Metazoa; Chordata; Aves; Anseriformes; Anatidae
Description: lncRNA (ENSABRG00000006497.1)
Source: RNAcentral